GAGAGAUGAGGAGCUUGCUCUUCAAAUCGAGUGGCGAACGGGUGAGUAACGCGUGAGGAACCUGCCUCAAAGAGGGGGACAACAGUUGGAAACGACUGCUAAUACCGCAUAAGCCCACGGCUCGGCAUCGAGCAGAGGGAAAAGGAGCAAUCCGCUUUGAGAUGGCCUCGCGUCCGAUUAGCUAGUUGGUGAGGUAACGGCCCACCAAGGCGACGAUCGGUAGCCGGACUGAGAGGUUGAACGGCCACAUUGGGACUGAGACACGGCCCAGACUCCUACGGGAGGCAGCAGUGGGGAAUAUUGCACAAUGGGGGAAACCCUGAUGCAGCGACGCCGCGUGGAGGAAGAAGGUCUUCGGAUUGUAAACUCCUGUUGUUGAGGAAGAUAAUGACGGUACUCAACAAGGAAGUGACGGCUAACUACGUGCCAGCAGCCGCGGUAAAACGUAGGUCACAAGCGUUGUCCGGAAUUACUGGGUGUAAAGGGAGCGCAGGCGGGAGAACAAGUUGGAAGUGAAAUCCAUGGGCUCAACCCAUGAACUGCUUUCAAAACUGUCUUUCUUGAGUAGUGCAGAGGUAGGCGGAAUUCCCGGUGUAGCGGUGGAAUGCGUAGAUAUCGGGAGGAACACCAGUGGCGAAGGCGGCCUACUGGGCACCAACUGACGCUGAGGCUCGAAAGUGUGGGUAGCAAACAGGAUUAGAUACCCUGGUAGUCCACACCGUAAACGAUGAUUACUAGGUGUUGGAGGAUUGACCCCUUCAGUGCCGCAGUUAACAAAGUAAGUAAUCCACCUGGGGAGUACGACCGCAAGGC
RNAcentral lists this ribosomal RNA (813 nucleotides) under uncultured bacterium. RNAcentral's name for it is "bacterial SSU rRNA". It matches the Rfam family "Bacterial small subunit ribosomal RNA", at positions 68 to 894 of the family's 1533-position model. The record is from RNAcentral.